UACGUAGGGGGCAAGCGUUGUCCGGAAUUAUUGGGCGUAAAGAGCGUGUAGGCGGUCCGAUAAGUCGGCUGUGAAAGUCCAGGGCUCAACUCUGGAAUGCCGGCCGAUACUGUCGGACUAGAGUCCGGAAGAGGUGAGUGGAAUUCCCGGUGUAGCGGUGAAAUGCGCAGAUAUCAGGAGGAACACCGGUGGCGAAGGCGGGUCUCUGGGCCGAUACUGACGCUGAGGAGCGAAAGCGUGGGGAGCGAACAGG
RNAcentral lists this ribosomal RNA (253 nucleotides) under uncultured bacterium. Its description in RNAcentral is "partial 16S ribosomal RNA". It matches the Rfam family "Bacterial small subunit ribosomal RNA", at positions 524 to 776 of the family's 1533-position model. The record is from RNAcentral.